GGUGGCGUAGCUCAAUGGCAGAGCAAUACACUCAUAAAGUAUAGGUUACAGGUUCGAAUCCCGUCGCCACCA
RNAcentral lists this transfer RNA (72 nucleotides) under Ardenticatenales bacterium. RNAcentral's name for it is "tRNA-Met". It matches the Rfam family "tRNA". Rfam says of the family: Transfer RNA (tRNA) molecules are approximately 80 nucleotides in length. Their secondary structure includes four short double-helical elements and three loops (D, anti-codon, and T loops). Further hydrogen bonds mediate the characteristic L-shaped molecular structure. tRNAs have two regions of fundamental functional importance: the anti-codon, which is responsible for specific mRNA codon recognition, and the 3' end, to which the tRNAs corresponding amino acid is attached (by aminoacyl-tRNA synthetases). tRNAs cope with the degeneracy of the genetic code in two manners: having more than one tRNA (with a specific anti-codon) for a particular amino acid; and 'wobble' base-pairing, i.e. permitting non-standard base-pairing at the 3rd anti-codon position. Lineage: Bacteria; Bacillati; Chloroflexota; Ardenticatenia; Ardenticatenales. The record is from RNAcentral.